GGUAUCCUGUGUUGCUUACCCUYUGAGAGGAAUUCGAUGGUUUUGGUGUCCCUAUCCGCCUUCUGCCCUUCGGGGUGCGGGGUGGACUUUGAGGCGUGCUCUGUGUUCCCCGCGUGUCGAGUGCGUUGACACUCGAUCGUUGCGGCCCAUGGGGUCUCGGCCUGUGCUCUCGGAUGCGGAAUGUUGUGUGUGGGCGUGGGGUCUCGGCCUCUGCUCGUCCAAGCUAUACACGCAUUGUCUCUGCAGGUAAAUGAACGACCGUCGCGCCCGUCUUGAUCGGCCGAUCGAGCCCCCACUGUGGGGUUUCGGGAGGGCGACUCAUGCGGACGU
This 330-nucleotide unclassified non-coding RNA is filed under the name Zanthoxylum sp. Wen 12413. Its description in RNAcentral is "partial external transcribed spacer". The record is from RNAcentral. Lineage: Eukaryota; Viridiplantae; Streptophyta; Magnoliopsida; Sapindales; Rutaceae.